CCUACGGGAGGCAGCAGUGGGGAAUAUUGGACAAUGGGGGGAACCCUGAUCCAGCCAUGCCGCGUGUGUGAAGAAGGCCCUCGGGUUGUAAAGCACUUUCAGUGAGGAAGAACGCCUGGUGGUUAAUACCCAUCAGGAAAGACAUCACUCACAGAAGAAGCACCGGCUAACUCCGUGCCAGCAGCCGCGGUAAUACGGAGGGUGCGAGCGUUAAUCGGAAUUACUGGGCGUAAAGCGCGCGUAGGUGGCUUGAUAAGCCGGUUGUGAAAGCCCCGGGCUCAACCUGGGAACGGCAUCCGGAACUGUCAAGCUAGAGUGCAGGAGAGGAAGGUAGAAUUCCCGGUGUAGAGGUGAAAUGCGUAGAGAUCGGGAGGAAUACCAGUGGCGAAGGCGGCCUUCUGGACUGACACUGACACUGAGGUGCGAAAGCGUGGGUAGCAAACAGGAUUAGAUACCCGAGUAGUC
This 465-nucleotide ribosomal RNA is filed under the name Vreelandella stevensii. Its description in RNAcentral is "partial 16S ribosomal RNA". It matches the Rfam family "Bacterial small subunit ribosomal RNA", at positions 338 to 795 of the family's 1533-position model. The record is from RNAcentral. Lineage: Bacteria; Pseudomonadati; Pseudomonadota; Gammaproteobacteria; Oceanospirillales; Halomonadaceae.